CAGUCGCGCGGUAAUACGAAGGGUGCAAGCGUUACUCGGAAUUACUGGGCGUAAAGCGUGCGUAGGUGGUUGUUUAAGUCUGCUGUGAAAGCCCUGGGCUCAACCUGGGAAUUGCAGUGGAUACUGGGCGACUAGAGUAAGGUAGAGGAUAGUGGAAUUUCCGGUGUAGCAGUGAAAUGCGUAGAGAUCGGAAGGAACAUCUGUGGCGAAGGCGACUAUCUGGGCCAUUACUGACACUGAGGCACGAAAGCGUGGGGAGCAAACAGGAUUAGAUACCCGAGUAGUCCCUGUCUCUUAUACA
Molecule: ribosomal RNA, 301 nt
Filed under: uncultured bacterium
Lineage: Bacteria
Description: partial 16S ribosomal RNA
Rfam family: Bacterial small subunit ribosomal RNA
Source: RNAcentral